This is an RNA transcript of Sapajus apella (tufted capuchin), 615 nucleotides long. It is a transcript of the gene named apoptosis regulator BAX pseudogene, with no coding region annotated. NCBI's taxonomy places the organism in Eukaryota, Metazoa, Chordata, Mammalia, Primates, Cebidae. The transcript has a single exon. The record is from RefSeq and is a predicted model, not a curated record.
GGCGAGAGGCGGGGGCAGGAGCGGCGGUGAUGGAUGGGUCCGGGGAGCACCCCAGAGGCGAGGGGCCCACCAGCUCUGAGCAGAUCAUGAAGACAGGGGCCCUUUUGCUUCAGGGGAUGAUUGCCACUGUGGACACAAACUCCCCCCGAGAGGUCUUUCUUCGAGUGGCAGCUGACAUGUUCUCUGACGGCAACUUUAACUGGGGCCGGGUUGUCGCCUUUUUCUACCUUGCCAGCAAACUGGUGCUCAAGGCCCUGUGUGCCAAGGUGCCCGAGCUGAUCAGAACCAUCAUGGGCUGGACUUUGGACUUGCUCCGGGAGCAGCUGUUGGGCUGGAUCCAAGACCAGGGUGGUUGGGAUAGCCUCCUCUCCUACUUUGGGACACCCACGUGGCAGACAGGGACCAUCUUUGUGGCUGGAGUGCUCACCGCCUCACUUACCAUCUGGAAGAACAUGGGCUGAGGCCCCCAGCUGCCUUGGACUGUUUUUCCUCCAUAAAUUAUGGCAUUUUUCGGGGAAGGGUGGGGAUUGGGAGACGUGGGCAUUUUUCUUACUUUUGUAAUUAUUGGGGAGGAUGGGGAGGAGUGGUCUGGAGGGGGUAAUAAACCUCCUUUGG